UCACAAGGAAACCAGCACCAAUCUGCUUCUGCACUUCCUCUUUGAUCUUUAUAGCCAUGUUAGAAUGCGUUCUUCUCAACUUUUGCUUGACUGGCGGGCAUUCUGGCUUCAACGGCAAUCUAUGCUCCACAAUCUCAGAAUCCAACUCAAUCUUCUCUUCAAACGACUGAAUAAUAUUUUCAUCAUGCUCAAGAAGACGAGACAAUUCAUCACUCACUUCUAC
Molecule: long non-coding RNA, 223 nt
Filed under: Lathyrus oleraceus (garden pea)
Lineage: Eukaryota; Viridiplantae; Streptophyta; Magnoliopsida; Fabales; Fabaceae
Description: Pisum sativum (pea) long non-coding RNA (PSAT_LNC029482)
Source: RNAcentral